Molecule: long non-coding RNA, 990 nt
Filed under: Sus scrofa (pig)
Lineage: Eukaryota; Metazoa; Chordata; Mammalia; Artiodactyla; Suidae
Description: lncRNA (ENSSSCG00050045411.1)
Source: RNAcentral
AUCUAUGAGGGUGCAGAUUUGAUCCCUGGCCUCGCUCAGUGGGUUAAGGAUGUGGCAUCGCCAUGCGUUCUGUGUUACUGUGGCUUUGGGGUAGGCUGCCAGCUGUAGCUCUGAUUAGAUGCCUAGCCUAGGAACUUCCAUAUGCUGCGGGUGUGGGCCUGACAAAGAAAAUACUGCAAAGGCUCCACAGCAAUGUAAAGGAAGGACAAAUUUCUCCCUGUGAUGUGCAAGGCCCUUCAGGAUGCUGCCCUGACCACUGUUUUCAGUGCCACCUCCAUUAGGCACCUACUUCCCAGCCUCCCUGGUCCAUUUGUCAAAGUACCUUCUCACCACUGUCUUUUCUUUUCUAGAAUGCCCUUUCUGCUUCCUCGACUUAAUGAAAGGCAACUCGUUUUUCAAUUUGGGUCACCAAAUACCACCUUGCUUCGAAAUCUUCCCUCUCUCCCCUUCAGUUGAGAAAGGAGGCUGCCAAGAAGUCAGAACAAUGGAAGCUAAGCAAAGAUACAGAAUCAAUUUCUGAAGACCACGAGGGAAGAAGCUGAUGAAGACUCUAUGUAUAGUACAUAAUGGGACGUUUCAUCCCUGGAAAGAUAAUAUUAAUAACUGCUGGAGGAGGGGAGAACUGUGGAGCAAAGAAUCUUGAGGGUGAGCAGUGCUGCUCAAACCACCUGUGGCAAUAGAUCAGUUUUAAAUUUCCAAUCCAGGAGUUCCCGUCGUGGCGCAGUGGUUAACGAAUCCGACUAGGAACCAUGAGGUUGCGGGUUCGGUCCCUGCCCCUGCUCAGUGGGUUAACGAUCUGGCGUUGCCGUGAGCUGUGGUGUAGGUUGCAGACGCGGCUCAGAUCCCGCGUUGCUGUGGCUCUGGCGUAGGCCAGUGGCUACAGCUCCGAUUCGACCCCUAGCCUGGGAACCUCCAUAUGCCACGGGAACGGCCCAAAGAAAUAGCAAAAAGACAAAAAAUAAAAAAUAAAAAUAAAUAAAUAAAUUUCCA